RNAcentral lists this ribosomal RNA (1395 nucleotides) under uncultured bacterium. Its description in RNAcentral is "bacterial SSU rRNA". It matches the Rfam family "Bacterial small subunit ribosomal RNA". The record is from RNAcentral.
AGAGUUUGAUCCUGGCUCAGGACGAACGCUGGCGGCGCGCCUAACACAUGCAAGUCGAACGAGCGAGAGAGAGCUUGCUUUCUCGAGCGAGUGGCGAACGGGUGAGUAACGCGUGAGGAACCUGCCUCAAAGAGGGGGACAACAGUUGGAAACGACUGCUAAUACCGCAUAAGCCCACGGCUCGGCAUCGAGCAGAGGGAAAAGGAGCAAUCCGCUUUGAGAUGGCCUCGCGUCCGAUUAGCUAGUUGGUGAGGUAAUGGCCCACCAAGGCGACGAUCGGUAGCCGGACUGAGAGGUUGAACGGCCACAUUGGGACUGAGAUACGGCCCAGACUCCUACGGGAGGCAGCAGUGGGGAAUAUUGGGCAAUGGGCGCAAGCCUGACCCAGCAACGCCGCGUGAAGGAAGAAGGCUUUCGGGUUGUAAACUGCUUUUGUCAGGGACGAAAAGCUCCGGAGUAAUAUGCCGGAGUGCUGACGGUACCUGAAGAAUAAGCACCGGCUAACUACGUGCCAGCAGCCGCGGUAAUACGUAGGGUGCAAGCGUUGUCCGGAAUGACUGGGUGUAAAGGGAGCGUAGGCGGGAUGGCAGGUCAGAUGUGAAACCUGAGGGCUCAACCUUCAGACUGCAUUUGAAACUGCUGUUCUUGAGUGAAGUAGAGGUAAGCGGAAUUCCUGGUGUAGCGGUGAAAUGCGUAGAGAUCAGGAGGAACAUCGGUGGCGAAGGCGGCUUACUGGGCUUUUACUGACGCUGAGGCUCGAAAGCGUGGGGAGCAAACAGGAUUAGAUACCCUGGUAGUCCACGCUGUAAACGAUGAUUACUAGGUGUGGGGGGAUUGACCCCUUCCGUGCCGCAGUUAACACAAUAAGUAAUCCACCUGGGGAGUACGACCGCAAGGUUGAAACUCAAAGGAAUUGACGGGGGCCCGCACAAGCAGUGGAGUAUGUGGUUUAAUUCGAAGCAACGCGAAGAACCUUACCAGGUCUUGACAUCGAGUGACGUAUCCAGAGAUGGAUAUUUCCUUCGGGACACAAAGACAGGUGGUGCAUGGUUGUCGUCAGCUCGUGUCGUGAGAUGUUGGGUUAAGUCCCGCAACGAGCGCAACCCUUAUCAUUAGUUGUUACGCAAGAGCACUCUAAUGAGACUGCCGUUGACAAAACGGAGGAAGGUGGGGAUGACGUCAAAUCAUCAUGCCCCUUAUGACCUGGGCUACACACGUACUACAAUGGCGAUCGAACAGAGGGAAGCAAGACAGCGAUGUGGAGCCAAUCCCAAAAAAUCGCCCCAGUUCAGAUUGCAGGCUGCAACUCGCCUGCAUGAAGUCGGAAUUGCUAGUAAUCGCAGAUCAGCAUGCUGCGGUGAAUACGUUCCCGGGCCUUGCACACACCGCCCGUCA